RNAcentral lists this long non-coding RNA (966 nucleotides) under Carica papaya (papaya). Its description in RNAcentral is "long non-coding RNA (CPAP_LNC014111)". Lineage: Eukaryota; Viridiplantae; Streptophyta; Magnoliopsida; Brassicales; Caricaceae. The record is from RNAcentral.
UCGUCAGCAGGCUCCGGAUUCCAUGGCUGACAAUCGGAGUCAUCUCCUCUGGUGGCUCCCUUGCCGAUCACAGAGCCCAACGAGAUCGACCUCGAAGCUGGCCUGCCGAUCAAAUUCAGUGUCGAAUUUGCCUCGAAACUGACGGUACUCAACUCCGAUACUCUUUAAUUCCAAUUUUACUGCUCCGAUUUUUCUAAAUUCUCCUUUCUCUUAUUUCCCGAUAAUUUUCUAGCAUUUUUCCUGUUUGUGUGCCCAGACAGUAGCCGAAAUUUGAAAUGUUCAAGUAACGAAAGUUAUUACUAUGGUGUAGGAUUUCUAGUUUCUUAGAGGGUUAAGUAAAACAAACAUAGAGAGAAGCUCUUCUCCCUCUGUAUAUUCUCAUCUCAUACAACUUUCUGGAAGCUGCUAAUUUUAGAAGUUGUAUCUCCAGAAUGAUGGAUUUUUUUUUCCUCUUUGAAAAGAGAAUUGUGGAUUUUCCAUUUCCUUCUUCCCCGCAAAAUUCAGUGCUGUGUGGUGUUGGCUCCAGACCUUGUUCGGCUGCGGAAAGAUUUCAGAUUGCUGAAAGGACAAGUUUAGUUCUAUAUUUGUGUUUGAUGUAGGACAAAUAAGGUUGAUUUGUCCAAUUAAGAAUUUGGUGAUAAAAAUCACACCUAGGGUUUAUUAGGCAUCGCAUCUAAGAAUUCUUAAGCAUUAUACUUAAGAGUUUGAUUGCAUUACAAAAUUAAAUUAAGAAACUCUCAAAAUAGUAUUGAAAAACCAAAUUUUCUCCCAAUAAAUGAAAUUAUGAAGAUAUUUAUAGUAAUUUUUAAGUAAAAUUUCUUAAAUAGAAUUAAAUUAAGAAAUAUUAAACUGGUAGAAUUAGGAAUAUUAGUCCUAAUACAAAUACAAAAUAUACUAAUAAGAACAAAAUCUUAAGUUACUGAAACUAUAAAAUUGCUCUUUAAUAAUAUAGAUUCCUAAAAUAUU